GAUGAACGCUGACAGAAUGCUUAACACAUGCAAGUCUUUGGCGAAGCUGUGCUUGCACAGCCUAGCCAAGGCGGACGGGUGAGUAACGCGUAAGGAACUUGCCCUGCAGUCAGGGAUAACAGACGGAAACGACUGAUAAGACCUGGUAAAGUCAGGCGGACUCAUGUCCAGCCUGAUGAAAAGAGAUGCUGCAGGAGAGCCUUGCGUCCUAUUAGCUUGUUGGUGGGGUAACGGCCCACCAAGGCGAUGAUAGGUAGCCGGCCUGAGAGGGUGGACGGCCACAAGGGGACUGAGAUACGGCCCUUACUCCUACGAGAGGCAGCAGUGGGGAAUAUUGGACAAUGGGGGCAACCCUGAUCCAGCAAUUCUGUGUGCACGAUGAAGGUUUUCGGAUUGUAAAGUGCUUUCAGCGGGGAAGAAAAAAAUGACGGUACCUGCAGAAGAAGCGACGGCUAAAUACGUG
Molecule: ribosomal RNA, 463 nt
Filed under: uncultured bacterium
Lineage: Bacteria
Description: partial 16S ribosomal RNA
Rfam family: Bacterial small subunit ribosomal RNA
Source: RNAcentral